This 808-nucleotide ribosomal RNA is filed under the name Elphidium macellum. RNAcentral describes it as "SSU rRNA". It matches the Rfam family "Eukaryotic small subunit ribosomal RNA", at positions 1177 to 1801 of the family's 1831-position model. Lineage: Eukaryota; Foraminifera; Rotaliida; Elphidiidae. The record is from RNAcentral.
UGGAGCAUGUGGCUUAAUUUGACUCAACGCGGGAAAUCUUACCGGGUCCGGACACACUGAGGAUUGACAGACAUUUAUAUGCGCAAGUAUAUAUUUAAAGAUGCUAGUUCUUUCAUGAUUAUGUGAUAGGUGGUGCAUGGCCGUUCUUAGUUCGUGGAGUGAUCUGUCUGCUUAAUUGCGUUUCAUAUUAUUAUUAAUAUUCCAUAUAUUUAUUAUAUGCGUCUAUUAUACUUUGAAAGCAACGAACGUGACCGUAGCCUUUUAUUAUAUACGCUACACGUAUAUUAAUUAAAGGGACCGCUGUAUCUUUCUUUAAACCAGAGUAAGGUUACGGCAAUAACAGGUCUGUGAUGCCCUUCGAUGUUCCGGGCUGCACACGUGCUACAAUGAUUAUUUCAUUAAGUAUCUACUGUGCAAUAAUAUAUUAUUAUUAUUCAAAACCUACUCUGAGAAUGAGCGGGUAAUCAAUUAGAAGUAAUGAUUUCCAAAUUUAUACACUCAUGUACCGUAUAUAUUAUCCCAUUACACAUUAUGUGUUAUGCGUGUAUAAUAUUGUACGCUGUACGUAUAUUUAUUAAUUCAUGGUGGGGAUAGACUAUUGUUAAUUGUUGGUCUCGGUCUUAACUAGGAAUACCUUGUACGGGUCAUUGGUUCAACAGACCACCCGGAAUACGUCCCUGCCCUUUGUACACACCGCCCGUCGCUCUUACCGAUGAACUUCGCUAUGAAUCUAUUGGACUGUACCAUUGUGGUAUGGAAAGAUAUAUGAAUAGUGUGGUUUAAAGGAAAGAGAAGUCGUAACAAGGCA